AUAGUACAGGGUGAUAUCUGACUAGUGGGUACUGAUGGUACAGGGUGAUAUCUGACUAGUGGGUACUGAUGGUACAGGGUGAUAUCUGACUAGUGGGUACUGAUGGUACAGGGUGAUAUCUGACUAGUGGGUACUGAUGGUACAGGGUGAUAUCUGACUAGUGGGUACUGAUGGUACAGGGUGAUAUCUGACUAGUGGGUACUGAUGGUACAGGGUGAUAUCUGACUAGUGGGUACUGAUGGUACAGGGUGAUAUCUGACUAGUGGGUACUGAUGGUACAGGGUGAUAUCUGACUAGUGGGUACUGAUGGUACAGGGUGAUAUCUGACUAGUGGGUACUGAUGGUACAGGGUGAUAUCUGACUAGUGGGUACUGAUGGUACAGGGUGAUAUCUGACUAGUGGGUACUGAUGGUACAGGGUGAUAUCUGACUAGUGGGUACUGAUGGUACAGGGUGAUAUCUGACUAGUGGGUACUGAUGGUACAGGGUGAUAUCUGACUAGUGGGUACUGAUGGUACAGGGUGAUAUCUGACUAGUGGGUACUGAUGGUACAGGGUGAUAUCUGACUAGUGGGUACUGAUGGUACAGGGUGAUAUCUGACUAGUGGGUACUGAUGGUACAGGGUGAUAUCUGACU
Oncorhynchus keta (chum salmon) is the source of this 635-nucleotide long non-coding RNA. RefSeq lists it as uncharacterized. The transcript is spliced from 3 exons. The record is from RefSeq and is a predicted model, not a curated record. NCBI's taxonomy places the organism in Eukaryota, Metazoa, Chordata, Actinopteri, Salmoniformes, Salmonidae.